UACGUAGGGCGCAAGCGUUAUCCGGAAUUAUUGGGCGUAAAGAGCUCGUAGGCGGUUUGUCGCGUCUGCCGUGAAAGUCCGGGGCUUAACCCCGGAUCUGCGGUGGGUACGGGCAGACUAGAGUGCAGUAGGGGAGACUGGAAUUCCUGGUGUAGCGGUGAAAUGCGCAGAUAUCAGGAGGAACACCGAUAGCGAAGGCAGGUCUCUGGGCUGUAACUGACGCUGAGGAGCGAAAGCAUGGGGAGCGAACAGG
Molecule: ribosomal RNA, 253 nt
Filed under: uncultured bacterium
Lineage: Bacteria
Description: partial 16S ribosomal RNA
Rfam family: Bacterial small subunit ribosomal RNA
Source: RNAcentral